GAACGCACAUUGCGCUUCCUGGUAUUCCGGGGAGCAUGCCCGUUUCAGCACCAGCAAAAACCCUCAAAAAGGGGAUUUCUUUUUCGGAGGAAUUCUCCCUUUUGGUUUUGGUUUGUCUUCGUUUCAGGGGGGUGUCAAAACCUCGUUUCUUUACGAAGACGAUGCCUUGAAUUCAUCGAGUGUACAGCGAUGGUUGAAACCAUUCUCCGUCUGUGUAACCAAAGUGCAACAGAAAUGUUACUUCAUCCCUUUGGUGUCGGCAGAUGGGACGCUCUCUCAAAUUGGAGCUCGAGGGUCGACGGUAAAUCGUCGGCAAUCGUUCCCAAAAACACAACUUGGUCUGAAAUCGGGCAAGAGAACCCGCUGAACUUAAG
Molecule: unclassified non-coding RNA, 374 nt
Filed under: uncultured fungus
Lineage: Eukaryota; Fungi
Description: sequence contains 5.8S rRNA gene
Source: RNAcentral